RNAcentral lists this ribosomal RNA (679 nucleotides) under Nocardiopsis halotolerans. Its description in RNAcentral is "bacterial SSU rRNA". It matches the Rfam family "Bacterial small subunit ribosomal RNA", at positions 57 to 741 of the family's 1533-position model. Lineage: Bacteria; Bacillati; Actinomycetota; Actinomycetes; Streptosporangiales; Nocardiopsidaceae. The record is from RNAcentral.
GCAGUCGAGCGGUAAGGCCCUUCGGGGUACACGAGCGGCGAACGGGUGAGUAACACGUGAGCAACCUGCCCCUGACUCCGGGAUAAGCGGUGGAAACGCCGUCUAAUACCGGAUACGACCCUUGGCCUCCUGGCCGGGGGUGGAAAGUUUUUCGGUUGGGGAUGGGCUCGCGGCCUAUCAGCUUGUUGGUGGGGUAACGGCCUACCAAGGCGAUUACGGGUAGCCGGCCUGAGAGGGCGACCGGCCACACUGGGACUGAGACACGGCCCAGACUCCUGCGGGAGGCAGCAGUGGGGAAUAUUGCGCAAUGGGCGAAAGCCUGACGCAGCGACGCCGCGUGGGGGAUGACGGCCUUCGGGUUGUAAACCUCUUUUACCACCAACGCAGGCUCGGAGUUUUCUUCGGGUUGACGGUAGGUGGGGAAUAAGGACCGGCUAACUACGUGCCAGCAGCCGCGGUAAUACGUAGGGUCCGAGCGUUGUCCGGAAUUAUUGGGCGUAAAGAGCUCGUAGGCGGCGUGUCGCGUCUGCUGUGAAAGACCGGGGCUUAACUCCGGUUUGGCAGUGGAUACGGGCAUGCUAGAGGUAGGUAGGGGAGACUGGAAUUCCUGGUGUAGCGGUGAAAUGCGCAGAUAUCAGGAGGAACACCGGUGGCGAAGGCGGGUCUCUGGGCCUUACCU